CUGCUGCCUUCCGUAGGAGUUUGGUCCGUGUCUCAGUACCAAUGUGGGGGGUUGACCUCUCAGUCCCCCUAUGUAUCGUCGCCUUGGUGAGCCGUUACCUCACCAACUAGCUAAUACAACGCAUGUCCAUCUCUGACCACCUGAGUUUUCAACCACCGAAGAUGCCUCCGGUGAUGUUAUGGGGUAUUAGUACCAAUUUCUCGAUGUUAUCCCCCUGUCAAAGGUAGGUUACAUACGCGUUACGCACCCGUCCGCCGGUCGCCGGCA
RNAcentral lists this ribosomal RNA (267 nucleotides) under uncultured bacterium. RNAcentral's name for it is "partial 16S ribosomal RNA". The record is from RNAcentral.